Rhinopithecus roxellana (golden snub-nosed monkey) is the source of this 977-nucleotide RNA transcript. It is a transcript of the gene named CXXC motif containing zinc binding protein pseudogene, with no coding region annotated. The record is from RefSeq and is a predicted model, not a curated record. The transcript has a single exon. NCBI's taxonomy places the organism in Eukaryota, Metazoa, Chordata, Mammalia, Primates, Cercopithecidae.
CGCCGGAAAGCAACGGCCGCAGCCAGCACCGAGUGGAGCGGGUCAGCAUGGGGAAAAUCGCCCUGCAACUCAAAGCCACGCUGGAGAACAUCACCAAUCUCCGGCCCUUGGGCGAGGACUUCCGGUGGCACCUGAAGAUGAAAUGUGGCAACUGUGGUGAGAUUUCGGACAAGUGGCAGUACAUCCGGCUGAUGGACAGUGUGGCACUGAAGGGGGGCCGUGGCAGUGCUUCCAUGGUCCAGAAGUGCAAGCUGUGUGCAAGAGAAAAUUCCAUCGAGAUAUUAAGCAGCACCAUCAAGCCUUACAAUGCUGGGUUUGCUGCUGAAGGUGUGGAGUCAGGGACAGUCUUCAGUGACAUUAAUUUGCAGGAGAAGGACUGGACUGACUAUGAUGAAAAGGCCCAGGAGUCUGUGGGAAUCUACGAGGUCACCCACCAGUUUGUGAAGUGCUGAUCCCUCUUCCUGCACAGUUGCCCUUACAAACUGAGAAAGGACAAUGUACCCAAGCAGUAGAGCCCACAGAGGCUGGUUCCUUUGCCCCUUGUCUCCUGGCGGCUAUACCAAACCUUCACAGUCUGCAUGCUGGACUUGAUUACAGCUUCCCAAGCCCCAUCAAUAAAGCCCCUGUUCAUGCUGCACUGGUGUAUGAAGGUGAAGUAAGGAAGCAGCUACUCCCUCUGCAAAUAAGAAUUCGUGCAGCAGCAGUUCACUCCUUAGGAAUAUGAAGAGUAUUUUUAAGGAGAUGGUAUCUCCCCAGUCAAGGGCAAGUUUACAGAGAGGAAACUGCGAUCCCACCAUCACUCAAUGAGCCAGAAGCCAAUGGUGACGUACUAUUACCCGAACUUACUGAACUUGCUGUUGGAAAGAUCUUUGUGAGGAUUAGGAAUUAGGUUAAAAAAAAUUAAGAACCAUCUUCAAGCAAAAAUUAAACUUUAUUUCUGGCUUAAACAAUAAAUACACCUGAGUUAGUUUUUCAAA